This is a non-coding RNA of Phrynosoma platyrhinos (Desert horned lizard), 73 nucleotides long. The record is from the annotation of a GenBank genome assembly. NCBI's taxonomy places the organism in Eukaryota, Metazoa, Chordata, Lepidosauria, Squamata, Phrynosomatidae.
GCCAAGUGUGGUGUAAUGGCUUGAACAUUGGACUAUGAUUCUGGACUCCUGGGUUCAAAUCCCAGCUCAGCCA